RNAcentral lists this ribosomal RNA (870 nucleotides) under Pristimantis ocreatus (Carchi robber frog). RNAcentral describes it as "partial large subunit ribosomal RNA". It matches the Rfam family "Bacterial large subunit ribosomal RNA", at positions 1612 to 2591 of the family's 2925-position model. The record is from RNAcentral. Lineage: Eukaryota; Metazoa; Chordata; Amphibia; Anura; Strabomantidae.
AAAAAGCGUCAAAGCUUACUAUGUUUAUCCCAAUUCCUUAAUCCCACUCGACCCCUUUAAUUAUACUGAGAACUUCUAUAAGAUUAUAGAACCUUUUAUGCUAAAACUAGUAACAAGAGGCAACCCCUCUCUAAAAUGUAGGUAUACGCCAGCAAGAACCCACCACUGACAACUAACAGGCCUAAAUAAAAGUAGCAACCUCCCAAGAAAACCCUACCCCACCCACUGUUAACCUAAUACCAGAACAUUUCAAGAAAGAUUAAAAGAAAGAGAAGGAAUUCGGCAAACAUUAGUCCCGCCUGUUUACCAAAAACACCGCCUCUUGCUUAUAUAAGAGGUCUAGCCUGCCCAGUGACUUCUGUUCAACGGCCGCGGUAUCCUAACCGUGCAAAGGUAGCGUAAUCACUUGUCUUCUAAAUAAAGACCAGUAUGAAAGGCAUCACGAGGACUAAACUGUCUCCUCUCCCUAAUCAGUGAACCUAAUAACCCCGUGAAGAAGCGGGGAUUUUUAUAUAAGACGAGAAGACCCUAUGGAGCUUAAAACAUCAUAACACCUGCCACACCACUUACUUACCCCGGUUCUCUCCCCCGUGACACCCUGAUUAUAUGUUUUUGGUUGGGGUGACCGCGGAGAAAAACCUAUCCUCCACAAUGAAGGGGACUUCCCCAAGCAGUAAGCCACAACUUUAUGCAUCAGUAAACUGACAUCAUUGACCCAAUAUAUUUGAUUAACGAACCAAGUUACCCUAGGGAUAACAGCGCAAUCCACUUUGAGAGCCCCUAUCGACAAGUGGGCUUACGACCUCGAUGUUGGAUCGGGGUAUCCUAGUGGUGCAGCCGCUACUAAAGGUUCGUUUGUUCAACGAUUAA